UUCGCGCUUUCGUCUCAUUGUUUUGUUGCCGAGGGGCAGUAAACACAGGAGCCUCAGAUGAUUCGGUUUGGUGCAGAGCAGGUGAACCCGCUCGGCGGAGCCACGCCGCGUGUCAACACUUUGCAGAGAGAUGAUCAAUAUACUGCUCAUGCUGGGCUGGUUCCCCACGUCCCAACGCCGCAGCACCGGAGCCGCGUUUGAGGCUGAGUCACGACGACGCUUUUCUUUUGAGCUCCUCUUUCUGCAGCCGAAUCGUCCAAAACCAGCCCUAAUCGCGAGUUCCUGUGACAGAACAGCCUCGCUCUCGUCGAUGCUCCGCUGGAUUCACCACGCGGGGAUGCUGGCGGCUCGCUCCCCCCCGGAGGCCGGCUGCGUCACCUGCAUUGCUGCCCCCAGGGAGACUUCACCUCCGGCACAACAGGGGUCUGGCACCAAGCGCAAACAAACCCAACCUGGUUCAGCUUUCGCCUCGUCCAGGAGGCGCAUGCGCACACGGUGGGCGGGUGUCAGGACAGAGGCUGCAGCUUCUAGCAUGUACAGGAGGCUGAGGACGAAGGAGAGGAGAACCGGCCGUCUGUAAACAUCAUGUUCGUGUCUAGUUGCAAGUAAACGGAAGCAGAGAACGUCUUUGUUAGACAAACACUUACAGCAUCUGCGGAUGCUCCUGCCAGGCUGUGUCGCUGCUGCUAGUCACACCUAUUUGUAUGUCAUUCAGCAUCCUCGUAUAAUUAGUUUUGCAUCUCAGUGUUUGGGUCAAACACUUCUCCUCUCGGUGGAAUAGAUUAAUACCCGCGCUAAACAGCGGGGUAAAGAGCAGAGCCAGUAAUCACAGCGUGCCCGGCCCUCCUCACCUCCACGACUACUUCCAGUCCGCGUGACCUCCCGCUGGAGACGGUUCACAGGCCGAGUCUCUCGCCCGCUCUCUCCUCAGGAAACCUAGAGAGAUGAAUCCAAAAAGCUAAAAAGCGCGAGGACAGAGACAGAGACAGAGGGAAUGAAAGGAGCAAAGCAAAGGACUUGGCAGUCGCCCAAGUGGAUCAUUAGCUCUGCUCCACGAAUGCGAUGUAGUGAAAGGUGAAAGCGAUAGUUUGGAAACGAGAGGAGCGCUGGACUGAUACUUAAUCAUUAGCACCACUGCACCAUGGCCGAUAGCAGCUGGGGCUUCAAGGUGGGCUCCCCUGAUGUUCCUGGAACAGAUCGACAAGCUUGUUCUCCACCUCCAAAGGGAGGAGUGUGGCGUGAAGCGAUUAGAAGCACGCUGCCCACUUUGUAACUGUCCGCUGAGCGCGCACGCCUGGCAAGAAAAUAGUUUGCUCAGUUCUCGCCGUUGGCUUGAUUUAUGGGCGCCGCAGAGCGACCGGCGCGGCCGGGGGAAAGUCUGCCCGGCUAAAUGGAGAGCGUGACUUCGCGGCCGCGCGUUUAAAUCCUGCACUUCCACGCGAGCGUCUGCAGGUUUUGGCGGCGGCGCUGCAGCAAACGCCGGAUGCGUCACGGAGGCAGAGCUGGCGUCAGAGCUCCAGUGGCCUGGAUGCGCUGCCGUGGUGGAGGCUUCACGCACACGCAGGGCUGCAAAUAGAGCUGCGUGUGCGAGAAGCGCUGACGUGUGUGGCGGUGACACGCGGCGCGAGCAAAAUAAUGGGCACGGCUUGAGUCAUGUCAGCGGCCCUGACAUGAACGGAUGAAUCCACAAGCAGGAGUCACCUGUAAACCAUGGGUUCUAUUAUGAGAAACCUGAUGACAAGAAACAGACAGACAGUGAGCGGCUCUUUGCUUUAGCUGCUCUCAACAUCCAGGAGGUUUCACUCCCAGAGCCACUUCAGGUUUCCUGUGAUUCAUUAAGGGAAAUAAAACUCCAGCAAGAUGUUCCUGAAUUCA
This is a long non-coding RNA of Betta splendens (Siamese fighting fish), 1875 nucleotides long. The record is from Ensembl. NCBI's taxonomy places the organism in Eukaryota, Metazoa, Chordata, Actinopteri, Anabantiformes, Osphronemidae.